AUUUCAUUUCAUUUUGUGUCAUUCUGUAGAAAAGAACAUUUGAUGAUAGAUUUUGUGUUUUAUAAAUUAUUGUGUGAAAAUUUGUUUUCUGAAAAAAUUGCAAUUUGUUUAAAUGUCGAGACGAUUAAAUUUGGGUCGGCGAACGCGAAAAUCAUUUCAAGUUGUGGCUUCAAGGAGCCGUGAAAGUAGCCAAGACAUUCCACAUCGCAAUGAAAAUAGUCGUCUACGCACAGCAAGGUCCCGUUCAAAUCAACGGAACAAUGAUGCAACAACAACUGCAAAUGAACGUCUUGAUAUUCAAAAUAUACAAAGUGUUGCGUUCGCGUACAGUAGUGUCACCGAUUACGCUACUCAUAGGCAAAUUAUUAUUGGUCCAAUGAACGACCGUUGUCGCCAUUGUCAGGCCUUUAAAAUUUAAAGGUGAAGCAGAUGGGAUAUGCUGUGCGAGUGGUAAAGUGAAAUUGCCUGAAUUAGGCAGCUCACCACAACCAUUGAGCACAUUACAUAAUGGAUUGACACCUGAGUCUAAUCAUUUUUUGAACAAUAUACGAGUGUAUAAUUCGAGUUUUGAAAUGACAUCUUUUGGCGCCAAAAAUAUUAUAAGAGACAACUUUAUGCCAACGUUCAAUAUUCAAGGUCAAAUAUACCAUCGAGCUGGCUCUUUGUUACCUUUCGACAACGCAGACCACCAAUUUUUGCAAUUAUAUUUUAUCGGGAACGCGGAAGGCGAAGCUGAUCGUCGGUGUGCCAUUAUUACUAACAUGCGGAGACACAUUAUUUUCGAUUUGCAAAAUAUGUUCCAUGAGCACAACGAAUUGGUUCAGGUUUUCAAAACAUCGCUUGAUCGAAUGCCAUCUGACGAUCAUAAAAUUGUUAUCGAGCUGAUAAAACACCGGUUGGCGAACAUGCAAGGCGUUUCAAUGCACAAACAGUUGACGAAGUGGCAAUAGUCAUUGUUGGUGAGCAAUUUAAUAAUCGUGAUAUUGUGCUUCAUCGUAGAAAUGAACAACUUGAACGUGUAUCCGAGACUCAUCGCUGUUAUGAUGCACUACAAUAUCCCAUAUUGUUUUGGAGCGGACAAGAUGGCUAUAAUUUCAACAUUAAAACGAUAAAUCCAGUAAACGGUCGAGAAGGAACAAAGAAAGUUAGUGCUAUGAAUUAUUACGCAUACAGGCUGCAGAUACAGCAAAAUCAAGACAACCACAUAUUGAGGUGUAGAGCACUUUUCCACCAGUAUAUUGUUGACAUGUAUGCAAAAAUUGAAUCGGAACGGUUAAAUUUUCUUCGAUUCAACCAAGCCAAAUUACGUUCCGAAGAGUAUGUUCAUUUGCGUGAUGCCAUUAAUAUGCCAUUAUUACCGUCAUCGUAUGUUGAAAGUCCACGUCAUAUGUUUGAGUACGCGCAAGAUGCGAUGUCAUACGUUCGCCGUUACGGUCGACCAGACCUCUUCAUCACCUUCACGUGUAAUCCGCAAUGGGAAGAAAUCUCGGAAUUAUUGUUUGUUGGCCAAACAUCGAAAGAUAGCCAUGAUAUUUUAGCACGUGUUUUUAGACAAAAAUUGAAAUCACUCAUGGAUUUAAUUGUCAAACACGGUGCAUUUGGGUCUGUUCAAUGUUGGAUGUAUUCAAUUGAAUGGCAGAAAUGAGGUUUGCCUCAUGCGCAUAUUUUAAUUUGGCUCAUUGAAAAAAUAAGGCUGAAUCAAAUUGACGAUGUGAUUUCGGCAGAAAUUCCAGAUCCGACAGUGGAUCCUGAAUUGUUUGAAGUGGUCACCAAAAAUAUGAUUCACGGUCCAUGUGGUGCGUUGAAUUUGAAUUCACCCUGUAUGGUUGAAGGGAAAUGCUCCAAACGUU
Molecule: long non-coding RNA, 1850 nt
Organism: Drosophila obscura
Lineage: Eukaryota; Metazoa; Arthropoda; Insecta; Diptera; Drosophilidae
Exons: 3
Source: RefSeq, a predicted model, not a curated record